This 492-nucleotide ribosomal RNA is filed under the name uncultured bacterium. RNAcentral describes it as "partial 16S ribosomal RNA". It matches the Rfam family "Bacterial small subunit ribosomal RNA", at positions 29 to 507 of the family's 1533-position model. The record is from RNAcentral.
AGUGAACGCUGGCGGUAGGCCUAACACAUGCAAGUCGAACGGCAGCACAGUAAGAGCUUGCUCUUACGGGUGGCGAGUGGCGGACGGGUGAGGAAUACAUCGGAAUCUACUUUUUCGUGGGGGAUAACGUAGGGAAACUUACGCUAAUACCGCAUACGACCUACGGGUGAAAGCAGGGGAUCUUCGGACCUUGCGCGAUUGAAUGAGCCGAUGUCGGAUUAGCUAGUUGGCGGGGUAAAGGCCCACCAAGGCGACGAUCCGUAGCUGGUCUGAGAGGAUGACCAGCCACACUGGAACUGAGACACGGUACAGACUCAUACGGGAGGCAGCAGUGGGGAAUAUUGGACAAUGGGCGCAAGCAUGAUCCAGCCAUACCGCGUGGGUGAAGAAGGCCUUCGGGUUGGAAAGCCCUUUUGUUGGGAAAGAAAAGCAGCAGGUUAAUACCCCGAUGUUCUGACGGUACCCAAAGAAUAAGCACCGGCUAACUUCGUG